Molecule: unclassified non-coding RNA, 2058 nt
Filed under: Hevea brasiliensis (rubber tree)
Lineage: Eukaryota; Viridiplantae; Streptophyta; Magnoliopsida; Malpighiales; Euphorbiaceae
Source: RNAcentral
GCACAACACAACCUCAAAGCCUGAAAUUUUAGCCUUCUCUCUCUUUUUUUAGGGUUAAGAGUUCAAUCUCUAACAAUGGCGUCCUCGAAAGUCACUGAAGUUGCGAACCUGAAAACGAUAGAAGCAGCCUUGAAGCUUGUAGACACCAAAAAGGAAAGCCUUAAAAGAGCCUUUGAUGAUCUCCAAGCCCACUCAUCUCUUCUCUCCUCCUUCUCUCUGUCUUGGCCUGACCUCGAUUCUCACUUUACCUCCCUCCAAACCACCCUCACCCGUCGUUUUCGCGAUCUUCAAUCCCUCAAUUCUUCUUCUUCCUUGCUAAACAACCCUCCUCGCACUCAUGACCCAAUCGGUGCUCCCCAUGACCCUGCUGCUUCCGAUCAAUCGCUGACUGUUGUCGGUGGCCCAUUAUCUUCUUCUAACCCACAUGAUCAUGGUGCAGUGACUCGGUCCAAGGUGGAAUUGCCCGUCCCCGUGCAAGACCCUUCUUCAUCUAAUCCGACGAGUCAGUCCCAAACUCAGACUCAGGGAGUCCCUGUGCAAGACCCAUCGAGUCUAAACCAGGCUACUUGGCCGGAAUUGGGUCCUCUGUGCGAGAAGAUGGAUGGGCCAGGAUUGAGGGAUUAUAUAAGCGACCAUGCCAAAGAGCGGGAAGCUAUCCGGACAGAGCUUGUAGGCUUAAUGGGGGAUGCUUCAGACCCCGGAGCAAUGGUUUUGGAUGCAAUGGAGGGGUUUUAUUCAUCGAAUUCGACGUCUAAAGGUGACAAGGACAUGGAUUUAUAUCGUUUACGGAAGAGCUGUUUGGACUUAUUGGAGGUAUUGACAGAGAUUAAACCAAAUUUAAGCGAUGAAGUGAAGGAGAGAGCUAAAAAGUUGGCUUUUGGGUGGAAAGAGAAAGUGAAUUUGAAUGGGGAUAGCCCUCUAGAGGCACUCGGUUUCCUGAAUUUGAUUGUUGCGUAUGGAUUAGAGAAUGAAUUUGAUGUGGGUGAGCUUUUGAAUUACUUUGUAGUCGUUGCCAGGUUUAAGCAUGCUACAGUUUUGUGUCGUUCUAUAGGCCUGGGCGACAAAACUACAGAUCUUGUUCAAAAACUCAUUGACAAUGGCAAGCAACUUUUAGCUGUCAAAUUUAUUUUCGAAUUUGGGCUGACUGACAAGUUCAAACCAGUUCCUCUCCUGGAAGAUCACCUGCAGGAGUGCAAGGAAUUUACUAACAAAAUUUGCAAGGAUGGAAAGAACUCCAUUAAGGCACAGAAUGAGGCCAGAGCCAGAGAAGUUAAUGCUUUAAAAUCAGUUCUCAAAGUAAUUGAUGAACACAAACUCAAAUCUGAGUACCCAAGGCUGGACCUUGAGAAGCGGAUUGAGAUGCUAGAGAAGCAGAAGGCAGACAAGAAAGUGGAUGCACAAUCUCCUGAUAAUAGGCCUCAGCAGCAGCCAAAGAAACAGCUGCAACAGCAGCAGUCAAAGAAGCAACAGACAAAGCAGCAAACAAAGAAGCAGCAGCUGAAUGGAAACAAGCGUCCUCGAAUGACUGCACUGAGUGGUCCUGCAGCAGUCUCAAUCAGUAUUGCUGGUUCCAGUUCAACUGUUCCUCCAUUUCAACAAUCUCAUUUACCACCAGCAGGCUUGUUGCCAGCAGCUGGACCUUAUGGGUUGGUGGGUUCCACUCCUUCCAUUGCUUCUUAUGCAGGUUCAUCAGCUGGCCCCUAUGGCUUGGCAGGAGCUGCUAUUGGCUUCUCUGGUAACCCAAGUCCAGCUGGGGCCCAUCCAUACUCUUCAGAUCCAUAUAUGCCACCUGGUUUUUAUGACAGGCCAUCUGCUUACGGUGGAUAUGGUUUGCAGCCUCAAUAUCCAACUUACUACCCCCAGUAGUUUUUGGGUACUUUCAGUGAUAGUAUAACUUUGGAUGGUAUAGUAGUGUUGCCAACUUUGCAUUAGUGGUUAUCAGAAAGCAAGCUAUGCUUUUUGAUCAGCAUGGAUGUAGUAUGGCAACUUAAUUUGGUUAGUUGGUUUGCGGGUGUUGGCACACUUUGAAGUGUUUGAACAAUAUGUUGCAUGUGUAUG